AUUCCAGCAAAGGUUUAAGGUACUUUCCUUUAAUGCCCAGGCUUCAGAGGAUAUUCAUGUGUUCUGAAACAUCUGUAGCUAUAAGAUGACAUAUACUGAACGACUCAAAGAUGGAAAUUUAAGACAUCUUGCUGAUGGAGAAGCUUGGAAGGAUUUUGAUUCCUUGCAUACUGAUGACUUCGCUAGUGAUGAUCAUAACGUUAGAUUGGGUCUUUUAAGCGAUAGUUUUAAUCCAUUUUGAACUAUGAGCAUUUCCCCUAGCACAUGGUCGGUUAUGUUGAUGAAUUAUAACUUAUCACCAUGGAUUUGCAUGAAGUCGGAGUAUAUAUUGUUAUCAAUGAUUAUUCUAGGUCCAUCGUUUCCGAGAAAUGAUAUAGAUGUAUACUUACAACCACUGAUUGCAGAGUUGAAGAAACUAUGGGAAGUGAGAGUGGAAACAUAUGAUAUUGUAACUAAUCAAACAUUUAUGUUGCGUGCAACUUUAUUGUGGACAAUUAUUGAUUUUCUAGGAUUGUCAAUGCUUUCCACAUGGAGUACCAAGGGAAAAUCCCCACUUGCAAUCAUAAUACUUGUUCCCAAUAUCUCAAACACAAUCGUAAGAUGUGUUAUUUGGGUCAUCGAGCAUUUUUACCUCAUGAUCAUCCAUAUAGAAGAGAUAAAAAAUUCUUUAAUGGUAAAGAGGAGCAUAGAGUUGCACCUACUCCCUUAUCAGGCAUAUAAGUUCUUGAAGAACUUCGUGAAUUCAAUAAUGUUUUUGGGAAGGGCCAAAAGAAAACAAAAGAAUGAUGGUCCAUGGAAAAAAAUCCAUAUUUUUUGAGUUGCCUUAUUGGGCAACCAACAAAUUGAGGCACAAUCUUAAUGUGAUGCACAUAGAGAAGAAUAUUUGUGAACAGUUUGCUUGGGACUUUAUUGGAUAUACUUGGAAAGUCCAAAGAUCAUAUAAAUUCUCGCUAUUAUUUGCAUAAGAUGGGGAUACACAAAGAGCUUCAACCAGUAAAAGAUUGUGAUACUGAAAAUAUUCAUUUGGCUAAUGCUUGUUUCUCUAUGAAACCAGAUGAGAAAGGGUUAUUUUGCACUAUUUAAAAGAUUCCAAACUACCAAAAGGAUUUGCCUUUAAUACAUCAAGUCGUGUGCAAUUAGAAGAUAUGAAAGUAUCAGGAUACAAAAGCCAUGAUGCUUACAUCAUUUUGCGUUACUUGAUCCAAGUUGCUGUUAGAAAAGUGCUGCCUAAGAAUGUGUCUUUGGUCUUAAUUAGGUUGAGGGAUUUUUUUAGAGCCAUAUGUAGUAAGGUUAUAAGAAGAACUGUUGUUAAUAAGCUAAAGGCUGAAAUCAUUGAUAUAGAAUGUGAGCUUGAAAAGUUUUUUCCUCCAUCUUUUUUUGAUUUAAUGACACAUUUGCCUAUCCAUUUAGUGGAUGAGAUUAAGCUUGGAGGCCCGAUUCAUUUGCGUUGGAUGUAUUUUAACUGAAAGAACUAUGUGUGACUUCAAGGGGCUUGUUUGUAAUCGAAUCCCAGAAGGGGCAUUAGUGGAGGGUUUUUCAGCUAUAGACUGUUUGACCUGUAUUUCGAGAUACCUACCUGAAAAGGUGAAGACAACAUUUAGUAGGUAUCAAACCAAGGAUGAUGAGGACAAUCAAAUAGAGAAAGGUGAUGCUUUAUCUUUAUUUCCUAUGAUAGGUCAUCCAAUCGGAAGUAUGAAUAAAAGGAAAGGAAAUACUUUUAACAUGGAGAAUCAUGAGAGAUUUGGAUAGUCAUGAGUCAAAAAGAGUCUUUAAAAAGGAAAAAAAAAGCAAAGACAUAUGCUAAAACUGGAUCAUUAUCAUUCUUGGCAAAUAAAAAACGACGGUUAUUGACAACAAAUGAAAUUGUUCAAGCUAUAGAGUCAGAGAAAGGACAACUGCUUAAGUUAAUUGAACAACAAGCAGUAACACCACAAUCUGAAGCUACUGGACAGUCUGUGGAGGAGCAGCCUCUUGAAUAACCUCUUGAUCAACAACCUACAAAGGAUCAAGUGCAAAUGAACUUUGUCACUCAGCCACGCGGUGAACAACCUGAAGAACAAGAAAAUGUCUGAAACAAAAAGUAAUAACUGGAAAAAGCUGUUGAAUCCACACACAGCAGGCAAAAAGAAUUUUUCUUUAAUCUGUAGUAAAUUGGUGUUCUCUGAUUUAUUAUCUAGUCUUAACUAGUCAUUUAAGAAAUUCCUGAUAACUAUUUUUAUGUGAUUAGGAAAAAGAAAAGAAAUAUGUAUCUUUUAAGGAACUCCUUGUGGUCACAAGAACAAGAAAACCUGAUCGUUUGUACAAGGCAUCGAAUGAGAACACAACCAGCAAAAUUGCUACGUGAAGGAAAUUGAAAAGCAAAUGAGCAUAAAUGGUCAGUCUGUUGAUGCAUUUUCAGUUGUCAUGGAUCCUGAACAUCCGGAACAUCUCACUAUAUGGAGUGGGGGUUACAAAGACAACUUUGAAAAAGAAAUUUGACAAUUCCGAAUCAACUUAAAUGCAACAAAUGAUGUAGUACAACAAAUGCAAGAAAAGAUGAAAAAAAUGGAGAAACAAAUGGAGAACUAUGCGACAAGAAGUUAUUAGAGAUGUCUUCGCACAACUUCAGCAAGUAGGAUUAAUUGAUCCUAACAUACUAGCAACAUUGUCCGUUCCUUAUCCAAGAGGAGCUACUUUUGCUCAAACAGCUGAGCAAGGUGAUGAUAUCAAUGAAAGCAGUACUGAGGACUUGGUAUAGGAGCUGAAUUGAGUUAAUGUUAACUUUACCUAUGUUCUGAAAGUCUGUUACUUUUGAAGUUUGAAAACUACUUUGUGGUGAAUAUGUACAUCUCACCCAGUUUGAAUGGUUGAAGAAUGUUUAUAUAUUUAUUUUUAUCGAUAUUAUGUACCCAACCAUGGAUCUAAGUUGUAAUUUUGGUAAUUAAAUAUAACUUCUUCGCAAGUAUUUUAUGUUAUAAAA
Molecule: non-coding RNA, 2959 nt
Organism: Solanum lycopersicum (tomato)
Lineage: Eukaryota; Viridiplantae; Streptophyta; Magnoliopsida; Solanales; Solanaceae
Source: RefSeq, a predicted model, not a curated record